UCGAGCUGCACCUUCGGGUGUAGCGGCGGACGUGUUAGUAACGCGUGGGAACGUGCCCUUCUCUACGGAAUAGCCUCGGGAAACUGAGAGUAAUACCGUAUACGCCCUUUGGGGGAAAGAUUUAUCGGAGAAGGAUCGGCCCGCGUCUGAUUAGAUAGUUGGUGGGGUAAUGGCCUACCAAGUCUACGAUCAGUAGCUGGUUUUAGAGGAUGAUCAGCAACACUGGGACUGAGACACGGCCCAGACUCCUACGGGAGGCAGCAGUGGGGAAUCUUAGACAAUGGGCGCAAGCCUGAUCUAGCCAUGCCGCGUGAGUGAUGAAGGCCUUAGGGUCGUAAAGCUCUUUCGCCAGAGAUGAUAAUGACAGUAUCUGGUAAAGAAACCCCGGCUAACUCCGUGCCAGCAGCCGCGGUAAUACGGAGGGGGUUAGCGUUGUUCGGAAUUACUGGGCGUAAAGCGCACGUAGGCGGAUCAGAAAGUUGGGGGUGAAAUCCCAGGGCUCAACCCUGGAACGGCCUCCAAAACUCCUGGUCUUGAGUUCGAGAGAGGUGAGUGGAAUUCCGAGUGUAGAGGUGAAAUUCGUAGAUAUUCGGAGGAACACCAGUGGCGAAGGCGGCUCACUGGCUCGAUACUGACGCUGAGGUGCGAAAGUGUGGGGAGCAAACAGGAUUAGAUACCCUGGUAGUCCACACCGUAAACGAUGAAUGCCAGUCGUCGGGUAGUAUACUGCUCGGUGACACACCUAACGGAUUAAGCAUU
Molecule: ribosomal RNA, 759 nt
Filed under: uncultured Paracoccaceae bacterium
Lineage: Bacteria; Pseudomonadati; Pseudomonadota; Alphaproteobacteria; Rhodobacterales; Paracoccaceae
Description: bacterial SSU rRNA
Rfam family: Bacterial small subunit ribosomal RNA
Source: RNAcentral